AAAACAGAAGUGUCAGCGGAGGACUAUAAGUGCUAUGUGAUUGGACGAAGGUGGCCACAGAAUUUCACCUGCCCAGCACAUAUUCUCUCAUCCUCUCCUCCUCUGCCUUCCUUGGGAGGGAGAAAUCAGAAGGAGUGGGGAUGCAGUUCAGAGAGCAGAGGAGAAGAGAAGAAAAGAAGGAAGAAGGAAGAGGACUAGGGUUGGGGUGGGGGAGGACACCAAUGGGAAGAGGGACAGACAACUCUAUACACAAAGUAAAUCAAAACACCAAAAACAGGGUCUACGUUAAAGAGGCCCUCUUCCCGUGAAUUGCUCAUUGCAUAGCUGCAGGGAGGGUGUUUAGGGGCAUAGAGAAUGAAAACAUACCUGUAUUUUGGUGUAGGGGAAAUUGUUUCUUCAGUUCACACCGUCCACACGCCACCUCCACCCCAAACUCUGCCACUACCAAAUUCCUCUAAAUAAAAAUAAUUAUGAGAUACAGGCCAACCAAAAACGUCAGCGUUAGGCUGUUAUUUAGAGAGAAUUGGAAAGCGUUUGGAUGUGUCCCUGUUGUUUAAUAAAUGAUAACAAUGAUUA
RNAcentral lists this non-coding RNA (576 nucleotides) under Pongo abelii (Sumatran orangutan). The record is from RNAcentral. Lineage: Eukaryota; Metazoa; Chordata; Mammalia; Primates; Hominidae.